Molecule: unclassified non-coding RNA, 220 nt
Filed under: plant metagenome
Description: partial contains small subunit ribosomal RNA, internal transcribed spacer 1, and 5.8S ribosomal RNA
Source: RNAcentral
UCUCCGUAGGUGAACCUGCGGAGGGAUCAUUACAGAGUUCGUGCCCUCACGGGUAGAUCUCCCACCCUGUGUUAUUAUACCUUUGUUGCUUUGGCGGGCCGCCCUCGGCUACCGGCCCCGGCUGGUACGCGCCCGCCAGAGGACCCCAAACUCUGAAUGUUAGUGUCGUCUGAGUACUAUACAAUAGUUAAGACUUUCAACAACGGAUCUCUUGGUUCUG